This 251-nucleotide unclassified non-coding RNA is filed under the name plant metagenome. RNAcentral's name for it is "partial contains small subunit ribosomal RNA and internal transcribed spacer 1". The stretch from base 1 to 46 matches the Rfam family "Eukaryotic small subunit ribosomal RNA", at positions 1786 to 1831 of the family's 1831-position model. The record is from RNAcentral.
AAGUCGUAACAAGGUCUCCGUUGGUGAACCAGCGGAGGGAUCAUUGCUGGAAGCGCCGCAAGGCGCACCCAGAACCCUUUGGUGAACUUAUGCCCAAAACGUUGCCUCGGCGCUGGCUGCCUCUCCCCUAGGGGAGGGGCCCGAAUCCCAGGUGGUCAAACACCUGGGAGGAGGACAGCAGGCCCGCCGGUGGCCCACCAAAAUAUUGUAUUCUGAGUAACAUCUGAGUAAAGCUUCUAAAUAAAUUAAAA